CCUACGGGAGGCAGCAGUAGGGAAUCUUUCACAAUGGGCGAAAGCCUGAUGGAGCAACGCCGCGUGCAGGAUGAAGGCCUUCGGGUUGUAAACUGCUUUUAUAAGCGAGAAAUAUGAUGGUAACUUAUGAAUAAGGAUCGGCUAACUACGUGCCAGCAGCCGCGGUCAUACGUAGGAUCCGAGCAUUAUCCGGAGUGACUGGGUGUAAAGAGUUGCGUAGGUGGCAUAAUAAGUAGCUAGUGAAAUCUGGUGGCUCAACCAUUCAGACUAUUAGCUAAACUGUUAAGCUCGAGACCGUUAGGGGUAACUGGAAUUUCUAGUGUAGGAGUGAAAUCCGUAGAUAUUAGAAGGAACACCAAUAGCGUAGGCAGGUUGCUGGGACGGUUCUGACACUAAGACACGAAAGCGUAGGGAGCAAACGGGAUUAGAUACCCGAGUAGUC
RNAcentral lists this ribosomal RNA (442 nucleotides) under uncultured bacterium. RNAcentral describes it as "partial 16S ribosomal RNA". It matches the Rfam family "Bacterial small subunit ribosomal RNA", at positions 338 to 795 of the family's 1533-position model. The record is from RNAcentral.